Long non-coding RNA from Carassius auratus (goldfish), 283 nucleotides. RefSeq lists it as uncharacterized. The record is from RefSeq and is a predicted model, not a curated record. Lineage: Eukaryota; Metazoa; Chordata; Actinopteri; Cypriniformes; Cyprinidae. The transcript has 3 exons.
GAAAUAGAAAGCAUUCUGCACAGUGUUCUGGCUGCUGAAGACCGUCAUACUACUGCAAGUUGUGCUGAGCAGCUGAAUGUCUUCAACACAAAGAUAACAGUGCUGUUUUUCAGCCGAAGUUUAUCUGCAGUAUGUCAGAGGAGCGAGGAAAGGACUCUCCAUCUGAGAUGAGUGUCUCGGAGGAACAGAGGGAAAUAUCUGAGGUUUCCAGCUCUGAGUCUGUAAAAAGUGAUCAGUUGAAAGGUGAUGUACCACUUUUCAAUGAGGAAACACCUACUAAAAG